CUGGCUGCUACAGUGUGGCAGUGUACUGCUGCUGGCUGUGUGCUCUGUGAUUGACAGCUGUCAGCUGCACUCCUCACUGCAACUGACCUG
Molecule: non-coding RNA, 90 nt
Organism: Xyrichtys novacula (pearly razorfish)
Lineage: Eukaryota; Metazoa; Chordata; Actinopteri; Labriformes; Labridae
Source: the annotation of a GenBank genome assembly